GCACUUGUUUCAGCAGUACAUGAGUUAAAACUGGAAUGGUACAGAGAUUAGUAUUAUCUCUAAGCAAGUAUGACACUCAAAUUUACAAAGCAUUCCUUUUUUUU
This 104-nucleotide small nuclear RNA is filed under the name Chinchilla lanigera (long-tailed chinchilla). The record is from RNAcentral. Lineage: Eukaryota; Metazoa; Chordata; Mammalia; Rodentia; Chinchillidae.